UUCAUCUUUUCUCUGUGAGAUUGCAGGACAUGAGGUCAUUUCCUGGGUCUGAGCAGGGAGAGGAGGAGGCAGAAGGUCUGAGGAAAGCAGAAAAGGUCUGCAGUCAUCUCCUGACAGGAAAGAACAAGAACUUUUCAGGGACCCACCUGAAGUUGGAUUUGGUGACACAUAGUCAUUCUCUUGAAGUUGACUUCACUCCUUCCCCAAACUCCAGGGAAAUGGCAAGAACAGGGACACGUUUCUAGAGGUGUUAACCCACCAAGACAAAGGGGACGGGAGAGGAACAGUCACCCAAGGAUGAGAGAAUCAGCAAACUGAGUGUGAGAGGAACUGACCUUGCAGAGUGGAGGUGGCUGUCCCACAGGUGCCUGCAGAAGGGAGUUCUGUGAAAAAGGACUCAGUUUCCACCCUGCAGACACCAGGAGACUCAGGACCAAUAAUAGGAACGCGGAGCUCCACCUACUUACAGAAGCAUCAGCGCCUGACAAGAAACUAAACAACGUCGCUCGGAUAUACGGGAGAGGAGACUUCUGGUCCUGUGAGAGAGUCCCAACAGGACGUCGACACAGCAGAACCCUCCACAGACAUGUGUGUGCUGCUUGAGAAGGCGGUCACCCAGCAGAAGCUGAACUAACCCCUCAGGCACUUCUGCCGAGUUGCUCAGAGCCUGUUAAACUGGAAGUUUCUCAGAAGACCAGAAAUGUGGUCAAGCACCCAAUUUCCGGGCUUCUCAGUGCAUUUACCAAACUGAUAACAUUCACUCUAAACGUCUUGCUGAAACAAACCAGACCUGCAGAGGACAAUUUCUGCCUGGAAAUCCCUCAGUGCGUACGUUUCACGGUGUGAUUUCCUCCUGUGCACGUUGCAGUUAGGCACAGUAGAGGUCAUAGGUGAGCCAGCGUUUCCCUGCAAAUGCCAGGUUUUCAGCGUCCCCUUUCUGCACGGUGUGCCUGCAGCCUAGGCUGCAGAAUCACCCGAUUGCAAUGCCAGAAGGAAUGCUAUGGAGAAUCCGGUUCAGCUCCCUAGGCUCUCAGAUGAAGGAAGAAGGUUCAGAGAGAAGGAACGAUGCCCUUAAUGGGUUUGGGGUAAGGAGUGCACUAGAACCCCAGCCUCCUGAGUUGCAGUCAGACCUCUUUCCAGUGAACUACCCUGCGGGUGACUUUGCAGAAAUGUUUAGAUAAGGUUUGUCUCCGUGGCUGGAGCUGCGUUGCAAUGUGGACAUGCCACCUCUUAUUCUUAG
This is a long non-coding RNA of Camelus dromedarius (Arabian camel), 1240 nucleotides long. RefSeq lists it as uncharacterized. NCBI's taxonomy places the organism in Eukaryota, Metazoa, Chordata, Mammalia, Artiodactyla, Camelidae. The transcript is spliced from 3 exons. The record is from RefSeq and is a predicted model, not a curated record.